UCGAGGAUCUUCGGCAAUGGGCGCAAGCCUGACCGAGCGACGCCGCGUGUGGGAUGAAGGCCUUCGGGUUGUAAACCACUGUCGUAGGGGAGGAAAUGCAGGUGGGUUCUCCCAUCUGUUUGACCUAUCCUAGGAGGAAGUACGGGCUAAGUUCGUGCCAGCAGCCGCGGUAAGACGAACCGUACGAACGUUAUUCGGAAUUACUGGGCUUAAAGGGUGCGUAGGCUGUGCAGAAAGUUGGGUGUGAAAUACCUCGGCUUAACCGAGGAAUGGCGCUCAAAACUACUGCGCUCGAGGGAGACAGAGGUGAGCGGAACUUAGGGUGGAGCGGUGAAAUGCGUUGAUAUCCUAAGGAACACCGGUGGCGAAAGCGGCUCACUGGGUCUCUUCUGACGCUGAGGCACGAAAGCUAGGGUAGCGAACGG
This 425-nucleotide ribosomal RNA is filed under the name uncultured bacterium. RNAcentral describes it as "bacterial SSU rRNA". It matches the Rfam family "Bacterial small subunit ribosomal RNA", at positions 355 to 775 of the family's 1533-position model. The record is from RNAcentral.